Molecule: ribosomal RNA, 346 nt
Filed under: uncultured bacterium
Lineage: Bacteria
Description: bacterial SSU rRNA
Rfam family: Bacterial small subunit ribosomal RNA
Source: RNAcentral
AACGAACGCUGGCGGCAUGCCUAACACAUGCAAGUCGAACGGGAUCCUAGCUUGCUAGGUGAGAGUGGCGGACGGGUGAGUAACACGUGGGAAUCUGCCUUUUGGUUCGGGAUAACCGCGGGAAACUGCGGCUAAUACCGAAUGCCCUCGAGAGAGGAAAGAUUUAUCGCCAGAAGAGGAGCCCGCGUCCGAUUAGGUAGUUGGUGGGGUAAAGGCCUACCAAGCCGACGAUCGGUAGCUGGUCUGAGAGGAUGAUCAGCCACACUGGGACUGAGAUACGGCCCAGACUCUACGGAGGCAGCAGUGGGGAAUAUUGGACAAUGGGGGCAACCCUGAUCCAGCAAUG